AAAGGUGGGGUUCUCUCCCUUUUUCCACCGCCGCCGACGCCAACGGUUGUGCCAUCGCCCAAACCAGCCGGCCACUGAAGGAGCUCCUCCGGUCAGCUGGCGCCGGCAGCCACUUCUAGCCGGACUUCGACCGCCGGACAGCAAGGUGAAAACUUCUCCUUGCUCUUGACGUACGUGUGUCGCCACUGUCGAACUCUACCGCUGACCAAGAACAGUUGUGUCGGUUGUGAGGUUCCCGUGAGUUGCCGGUUGCUCGAAAGUGAACAACAACUCCUUACCUUAUUUGUGUCGUCGGGCUGCUUCGGCCGCCGGACAUAAAUCUAGUCGUGAUCUCUCUCAGGUCAUUCUGUCUUCGCACAGGCUAGAGAGCUUUCGUGAAUAUGGAACUCGGACUUUGUGAAGUCAUAUUGGCGUGGAUACAAAGAGAGACAACACUCGAGAGCAUUACUUUGGUUGAUUCAAUUUCACUCCUCAUUGAUUAACUGUUUGCUCGUUGAUUCCGAAGGAGGCUUGCCUUAUGAGUUGGGCAAGUGGAGCACUAGAUCCUGAAAGCACAGCAUCAACUGACAUUGUUACAUCAGUAAAGAGAGGUGUCUGGGCGAUGAUUGCUGUCUUUUUAGCCUAUUCCUUGCUGCAAGCACCUUCAACGUAAGCUAUGGCUUCCAUUUUUGAGAGCUCAGAACUUAUAACUUUAUGAUGUAGAUGCAUGUAUCUCAGCAUUAUACAAGGUCAUUCGAGAGCAUUUGUUGCUUUGUAUCUGGAAUAAUUUCCCCAUCAAGAAUUGCAAUAAUGCAGUUUUUC
Molecule: long non-coding RNA, 801 nt
Organism: Zingiber officinale
Lineage: Eukaryota; Viridiplantae; Streptophyta; Magnoliopsida; Zingiberales; Zingiberaceae
Exons: 3
Source: RefSeq, a predicted model, not a curated record